This 386-nucleotide ribosomal RNA is filed under the name uncultured bacterium. RNAcentral's name for it is "bacterial SSU rRNA". It matches the Rfam family "Bacterial small subunit ribosomal RNA", at positions 28 to 414 of the family's 1533-position model. The record is from RNAcentral.
GACGAACGCUGGCGGCGUGCUUAACACAUGCAAGUCGAGCGGUAAGGCCCUUUCGGGGGGUACACGAGCGGCGAACGGGUGAGUAACACGUGGGUGACCUGCCCUCAGCUCUGGGAUAAGCCUGGGAAACCGGGUCUAAUACCGGAUAUGACUCCAUGACGCAUGUUGUGGGGUGGAAAGCCUUGUGCGGCUGAGGAUGGGCCCGCGGCCUAUCAGCUUGUUGGUGGGGUGANGGCCUACCAAGGCGACGACGGGUAGCCGGCCUGAGAGGGCGACCGGCCACACUGGGACUGAGACACGGCCCAGACUCCUACGGGAGGCAGCAGUGGGGAAUCUUGCGCAAUGGGCGAAAGCCUGACGCAGCGACGCCGCGUGAGGGAUGACGG